Molecule: ribosomal RNA, 265 nt
Filed under: Citrobacter freundii
Lineage: Bacteria; Pseudomonadati; Pseudomonadota; Gammaproteobacteria; Enterobacterales; Enterobacteriaceae
Also listed under: 5 other names
Description: partial 23S ribosomal RNA
Rfam family: Bacterial large subunit ribosomal RNA
Source: RNAcentral
AUCGUACCCCAAACCGACACAGGUGGUCAGGUAGAGAAUACCAAGGCGCUUGAGAGAACUCGGGUGAAGGAACUAGGCAAAAUGGUGCCGUAACUUCGGGAGAAGGCACGCUGAUAUGUAGGUGAAGUGAUUUACUCAUGGAGCUGAAAUCAGUCGAAGAUACCAGCUGGCUGCAACUGUUUAUUAAAAACACAGCACUGUGCAAACACGAAAGUGGACGUAUACGGUGUGACGCCUGCCCGGUGCCGGAAGGUUAAUUGAUGGG